This 225-nucleotide small RNA is filed under the name Arabidopsis thaliana (thale cress). RNAcentral describes it as "ATSL239310". Lineage: Eukaryota; Viridiplantae; Streptophyta; Magnoliopsida; Brassicales; Brassicaceae. The record is from RNAcentral.
UUUUUUUUUUUUUACUAAAAAUACUUUUUUUGAUUUUUAAAAUAAAAUAUUAUUUUCUUAUUAAGUAUACAUAAUAUUUUUAUUUUUUAUUUUUAAGUGUUAAAUUUUAGAUGUGUGUAAACUAAUCGGACACAACAUCCCGUCCAUAAUAUGAGGUCCUUCAGCGGUGUCCUAAGUUCAACAUGUUUACACAUCAUUUGAAUUUAACACUUUCUUUAUUUUCAU